This 253-nucleotide ribosomal RNA is filed under the name uncultured bacterium. RNAcentral describes it as "partial 16S ribosomal RNA". It matches the Rfam family "Bacterial small subunit ribosomal RNA", at positions 524 to 776 of the family's 1533-position model. The record is from RNAcentral.
UACAGAGGUCCCAAGCGUUGUUCGGAUUCAUUGGGCGUAAAGGGUGCGUAGGCGGCGCGGUAAGUCGGGUGUGAAAUCUCGGAGCUUAACUCCGAAACUGCAUUCGAUACUGCCGUGCUUGAGGACUGGAGAGGAGACUGGAAUUUACGGUGUAGCGGUGAAAUGCGUAGAUAUCGUAAGGAAGACCAGUGGCGAAGGCGGGUCUCUGGACAGUUCCUGACGCUAAGGCACGAAGGCCAGGGGAGCAAACGGG